Molecule: transfer RNA, 68 nt
Filed under: Marmota monax (woodchuck)
Lineage: Eukaryota; Metazoa; Chordata; Mammalia; Rodentia; Sciuridae
Description: tRNA.Leu
Rfam family: tRNA (bases 5-65)
About the family: Transfer RNA (tRNA) molecules are approximately 80 nucleotides in length.
Source: RNAcentral
GGUUUGUGGCUCAGCGGUAGAGCUCUCACCUCAAACGUGCGAGAUCCUGAGUUCGAUCCUCAGCACCA